GAAAUAUAACGUAAUAAAUCUCGUAUAUAAUCGAUAAUAUGGAUCGAAAGUUUCUACCUGCAAACCGUAAAAGUGCAGACUACGAGGAGUUGUAUUUCAUUU
RNAcentral lists this non-coding RNA (102 nucleotides) under Clostridium bornimense. RNAcentral describes it as "Guanine sequence". It matches the Rfam family "Purine riboswitch aptamer". From Rfam's summary of the family: Riboswitches are metabolite binding domains within certain messenger RNAs that serve as precision sensors for their corresponding targets. Allosteric rearrangement of mRNA structure is mediated by ligand binding, and this results in modulation of gene expression. Lineage: Bacteria; Bacillati; Bacillota; Clostridia; Eubacteriales; Clostridiaceae. The record is from Rfam by way of RNAcentral.